Molecule: ribosomal RNA, 464 nt
Filed under: Vreelandella stevensii
Lineage: Bacteria; Pseudomonadati; Pseudomonadota; Gammaproteobacteria; Oceanospirillales; Halomonadaceae
Description: partial 16S ribosomal RNA
Rfam family: Bacterial small subunit ribosomal RNA
Source: RNAcentral
CCUACGGGUAGAGCAGUGGGGAAUUUUGGACAAUGGGCGAAAGCCUGAUCCAGCCAUGCCGCGUGUGUGAAGAAGGUCUUCGGGUUGUAAAGCACUUUCAGUGGGGAAGAAAGCCUUGGGGCUAAUACCCUCGAGGAAGGACAUCACCCACAGAAGAAGCACCGGCUAACUCCGUGCCAGCAGCCGCGGUAAUACGGAGGGUGCGAGCGUUAAUCGGAAUUACUGGGCGUAAAGCGCGCGUAGGCGGUCUGAUAAGCCGGUUGUGAAAGCCCCGGGCUCAACCUGGGAACGGCAUCCGGAACUGUCAGGCUAGAGUGCAGGAGAGGAAGGUAGAAUUCCCGGUGUAGCGGUGAAAUGCGUAGAGAUCGGGAGGAAUACCAGUGGCGAAGGCGGCCUUCUGGACUGACACUGACGCUGAGGUGCGAAAGCGUGGGUAGCAAACAGGAUUAGAUACCCCUGUAGUC